CAAGUUAUUGCCCAGUUACAGAGAUGGGCUUUCUUCAGAAAGUUAAAACGAAGCCUUUAACUGGACUUAUGAAUCAGACGAAUUAAAUGGCUAUGUUUUGUUUUAUUUCACCUGUCCUCCUGUAUUCAAGGGAGCAGCUAUGAAACUUGUAGCUCUACAAGCUGCUGAGCCCAGGUAAGUGAGGCAGUGAGCAAAGCAAGCCCUGCGCAGGACGAGCAUCCUCCCACUGCCUGCACCAGCACAGCCAGCCCCAGGAGCAGCACCUUCCGCAGUGCCUGUGCCAAGAGAUGUAGAGCUGAAGCACUGUGUCCAGCACCCCGAGGCCUGGUGCACAACUACUGUGGGACAAUGUAUGAGCCAGCUAGCAAGUUUUUUGAGGCAAAGCAAAUGCUGGAAUAAAAGUCAUCUAAUGAUGCAAAAGUCUGAGGAAAUCAUAAAUGCAGGAACAGGGGUGGUUAGAACUGAAUGCUCUUCACCGCUCUUACCAUCUCAGUCUACAAACAUGACUGUGUGUCCAGAUGCAGCACAUGAGCCUGCCACAUGACAACUGUUCUACAGCUCACGAGUGGGUGUGAAGGAGAAAAGAAGGAA
RNAcentral lists this long non-coding RNA (591 nucleotides) under Gallus gallus (chicken). RNAcentral describes it as "long non-coding RNA NONGGAT004390". Lineage: Eukaryota; Metazoa; Chordata; Aves; Galliformes; Phasianidae. The record is from RNAcentral.